UGAGAACUGAAUUGAAUAUGGAAAUAUGCAGGUAAAGAUUUAUAAAUUAGAGAUUUAUUUUUGUAAUUUAACUGUAAAAUAAAUAUAUAAAUAAAAUGUUUACAUUAAAAAGUCAUCAAAAGUAGUAACUGAAUUAACAAACCAGAAUUAAGUGUUAUUGAAUUAAAUAAUAAUAAUAAUAAUAAUAAAAACCUACUACACUAAUUUUUAGGUGACAAAGAGUGCCUGUACACAAUGCUUACUAAAGAAGAAACUAGAAAAAUAGCUCUUUUCUGUCGACCAGGCAUCUGUCCACUAAAUCCAGUUGGGAGGAUGGUGAUCGUAAGGGCUUUCUUGAUGAAGGUUGCAUGAAGAUCUUGAGAAAAAUGCAACAAUAUAAUUCUCACCACCUUGGAUUAGAAAGAAACAACCAGGAACUGCUGGAAAAAAAGAGGGACACUCCAGAUUCUGACUGUCACCACGAGAACUGCAAAUAUGUGCUCCAAACAAAACGUGGCUCAGAAUUUCAAAACCCUAACAUUCUAGGAGGCAUAUCUGCAGCUGCAAGCCGCUGACAAACUCCAUCUUGUACAUCUGAGCCUGCAGAGAAGGGCGAGAGCGGUGAUAGAAUAUUGAUGCUCCUCUGGCAUGGGCCUCAUUCAAACCAAAUAGCUUUAUGUUAUUGUGACUGAUACAAUUUCACCGCGUGUACCUGCAUUAAAUUGACAUUCCCAACUUUACUUGGUGCUCUGUGCAUUUUUAAUGCCAAAAUAUGACAGCAUAAGAACAAAUGCUGGUCUAAACCUCCAGCUGGAAGGUUG
Molecule: long non-coding RNA, 800 nt
Organism: Cyprinus carpio (common carp)
Lineage: Eukaryota; Metazoa; Chordata; Actinopteri; Cypriniformes; Cyprinidae
Source: Ensembl